UAAAAUUUUAUUUUUAUUUGUUUAUUAAAAGAAAUAAUUUUAUUUUUAUUAAUUUUAUGAAAAAAUUAUAAUAAUUAUAGUAUAUUGUAUUGUGAAAGAAAAUUUUUAAUUUUAAAAAAGAAAAAUUUAUUUUUUGUACCUUGUGCAUCAGGGUUUAUUAAAUUAAAUUAAGUAUUUAAUAAUCUCGAAUUUAAAAGAGUUAAAAAUUUAUUAUUUUUAUUGUAGAAUAAAUAUUUUUAAUAAAUUUUUAGUAAUGAAAUGUUAUUCGUUUUUAAAUAUAUCUAGUUUUUUAAGAAAAAAAUUUAAUUUUAAAAUUAUUAAUAUAAAUUUAAAUUUUUAAUAAUAUAUUAGUAAUUUUAAAUAUUUUUAGGGAUGAGCUUAAAAAUAGAUUUUUAUUAAAAAUUAAAGAUAAAAAUAUAUUUAGGAUUAGAAAUUUCUAUAAUUUUUAGUAUGUUAUAAUUAGUUUUUAAAAUAUAAUAUUUUUAUUUUUUAUAAAUUUUUUAUUAAAAUAUAAAUUUUAAUAGUUAAAAUUUAGAAAUAAUGAUAAAAUUAGUAUAAAUUAAUGAAUUAUAAAUAAUUUAAUUUAUUUAGUUAAAUUUAAGGAAUUCGGCAAAUUAUUUUUCACCUGUUUAUUAAAAACAUGUCCUUUUGUUAAAAAUUUAAGGUCUCACCUGCCCAAUGAAAAUUUAAAUGGCCGCGGUAUUUUGACCGUGCUAAGGUAGCAUAAUCAUUAGUUUUUUAAUUGAAAGCUGGAAUGAAGGGUUGGAUGAAAAAAUAACUGUCUCAAAUUUAUUUAAUUAGAAUUUUAUUUUUAAGUUAAAAAGCUUAAAUAUUUUUAAAAGACGAGAAGACCCUAUAGAGUUUAAUAAUAAUUAAUUAUUUAAAUUUAGUAUUUAAAUUUUUAUAGUAACAUUUUUAUUUAAUUGGGGUGAUUAAAAAAUUUAAUGAACUUUUUUUAUAUUUUUAUAUUAAUUGAUAUAUAAAUGAUCCUAAAUUUUAGAUUAUAAGAAAAAAUUACCUUAGGGAUAACAGCGUAAUUUUAUUUUAGAGUUCAAAUCGAAAAUAGAGAUUGCGACCUCGAUGUUGGAUUAAAGUAAAUUUUUGGUGUAGAAGCUAAAAUAUUAAGUCUGUUCGACUUUUAAAUCUUUACAUGAUCUGAGUUUAAACCGGUGUAAGCCAGGUUGGUUUCUAUCUUUAAAUUAUUAAUUUAUUUUAGUACGAAAGGACCAAAUAAAUAUAAAAUUUAUUUUUUUUUUGAUAAAAAUUAGUUAUUUUGGCAGAUUAGUGCAA
RNAcentral lists this ribosomal RNA (1290 nucleotides) under Argopistes tsekooni. Its description in RNAcentral is "16S ribosomal RNA". The stretch from base 1025 to 1183 matches the Rfam family "Archaeal large subunit ribosomal RNA", at positions 2542 to 2701 of the family's 2987-position model. Lineage: Eukaryota; Metazoa; Arthropoda; Insecta; Coleoptera; Chrysomelidae. The record is from RNAcentral.